RNAcentral lists this ribosomal RNA (497 nucleotides) under uncultured bacterium. RNAcentral describes it as "partial 16S ribosomal RNA". It matches the Rfam family "Bacterial small subunit ribosomal RNA", at positions 28 to 507 of the family's 1533-position model. The record is from RNAcentral.
GAUGAACGCUGGCGGCGUGCCUAAUACAUGCAAGUCGAGCGAACAGACGAGGAGCUUGCUCCUCUGACGUUAGCGGCGGACGGGUGAGUAACGCGUGGAUAACCUACCUAUAAGACUGGGAUAACUUCGGGAAACCGGAGCUAAUACCGGAUAAUAUAUUGAACCGCGUGGUUCAAUAGUGAAAUACGGUUUUGCUGUCACUUAUAGAUGGAUCCGCGCCGCAUUGGCUAGUUGUUACGGUAACGGCUUACCAAGGCAACGAUGCGUUGCCGACCGGCGUGGGGGGUAGCCCACAUGGGAAGGUAGCCAGCGACCAGAGGACUGAGGGACGCAGCAGUAGGGAAUCGUAGGCAAUGGUGGAAAACUUGACGGAGUAAGCGGGCGUGAGUUAUGAAGGCGCUCGGAUCGGAAAACUCUGUUACUAGUGAAGAACAAAUGUGUACGUAACUAUGCCCGUCUUGACGGUACCGAAUCAGAAAGCCACGGCUAACUACGUG